This 478-nucleotide ribosomal RNA is filed under the name uncultured Pseudomonadota bacterium. RNAcentral's name for it is "bacterial SSU rRNA". It matches the Rfam family "Bacterial small subunit ribosomal RNA", at positions 8 to 522 of the family's 1533-position model. The record is from RNAcentral. Lineage: Bacteria; Pseudomonadati; Pseudomonadota.
AGAGUUUGAUCCUGGCUCAGAACGAACGCUGGCGGCAGGCCUAACACAUGCAAGUCGAACGAUAAGCCACCUUCGGGUGGUGGACAGUGGCAGACGGGUGAGUAACGCGUGGGAACGUGCCUUUCGGUUCGGAAUAACCCAGGGAAACUUGGGCUAAUACCGGAUACGCCCUUCGGGGGAAAGAUUCAUUGCCGAAAGAUCGGCCCGCGUCGGAUUAGCUAGUUGGUGGGGUAAUGGCUCACCAAGGCGACGAUCCGUAGCUGGUCUGAGAGGAUGACCAGCCACACUGGGACUGAGACACGGCCCAGACUCCUACGGGAGGCAGCAGUGGGGAAUAUUGGACAAUGGGCGCAAGCCUGAUCCAGCCAUGCCGCGUGGGUGAAGAAGGCCUUAGGGUUGUAAACCCCUUUCAGCGGGGAAGAUAAUGACGGUACCCGCAGAAGAAGUCCCGGCUAACUUCGUGCCAGCAGCCGCGGUA